CAAGUGGCCACCGAGCCAGCAGAGACCCACCGAGCGUCGGCGGAGGGAGCAGCACCAGGGCGCACGCGGGCACCAUGACCCAGACGCCUGCCUUCGACAAGCCCAAAGUAGAACUGCACGUCCACCUAGACGGAGCCAUCAAGCCUGAAACCAUCUUAUACUAUGGCAGGAGGAGAGGGAUCGCUCUCCCAGCUAACAUAGCAGAGGGGCUACUGAACAUCAUUGGCAUGGACAAGCUACUCACCCUCCCGGACUUCCUGGCCGUGUUUGACUACUACAUGCCUGUUAUUGCGGGCUGCCGGGAGGCUAUCAAAAGGAUCACCUCGGGUGUACGUGAAGGUGCGGUACAGUCCGCACCUGCUUGCCAACCCCAAAGUGGAGCCAAUCCCCUGGAACCAGGCUGAAGGGGACCUCACCCCAGAUGAGGUGGUGGCCCUAGUGGGCCAGGGCCUGCAGGAGCGGGAGCAAGACUUUGGGGUCAAGGCCUGGUCCAUCCUGUGCUGCAUGCACCACCAGCCCAAUUGGUCCCCUGACGUGGUGGAGCUGUGUAAGAAGUACCAGCAGUAGACCGUGGUGGCCAUUGACAUGGCUGGAGAUGAGACCAUCCCAGGAAGCAGCCUCUUGCCUGGACAUGUCCAGGCCUACCAGGAGGCUGUGAAGAGCGGCAUUCGCUGUACUGUCCAUGCUGGGGAGAUGGGCUCGGCCGAAGUAGUAAAAGAGGCUGUGGACAUACUAAAGAUAGAGCGGCUGGGACAUGGCUACCACACCCUGGAAGACCAGGCCCUUUAUGACAGGCUGCGGCAGGAAAACAUGCACUUGGAGAUCUGCCCCUGGUCCAGCUACCUCACUGGUGCCUGGAAGCUGGACACAGAGCAUGCAUUCGUUCGGCUCAAAAAUGACCAAGCUAACUACUCACUCAACACAGAUGAACCACUCACCUUCAAGUACACCCUGGACACUGAUUACCAGAUGACCAAAUGGGACAUGGGCUUUACUGAAGAGGAGUUAAGAGGCUGAACAUCAAUGCAGCCAAAUCUAGUUUCCUCCCAGAAGAUGAGAAAAGGGAGCUUCUAGACCUGCUCUAUAAAGCCUAUGGGAUGCCACCUUCAGCCUUUGCAGGGCAGCACCUCUGA
Piliocolobus tephrosceles (Ugandan red Colobus) is the source of this 1133-nucleotide RNA transcript. It is a transcript of the gene named adenosine deaminase pseudogene, with no coding region annotated. The record is from RefSeq and is a predicted model, not a curated record. NCBI's taxonomy places the organism in Eukaryota, Metazoa, Chordata, Mammalia, Primates, Cercopithecidae. The transcript has a single exon.